This is a long non-coding RNA of Sphaeramia orbicularis (orbiculate cardinalfish), 481 nucleotides long. RefSeq lists it as uncharacterized. NCBI's taxonomy places the organism in Eukaryota, Metazoa, Chordata, Actinopteri, Kurtiformes, Apogonidae. The transcript is spliced from 3 exons. The record is from RefSeq and is a predicted model, not a curated record.
GGCCGACUCCACACAUGACAGAGCAGUGAAACGAGAAGAGGGAGAGAAACUGGCCAAGGAGUUCGGAGUGCCCUUCAUGGAGACCAGCGCUAAAUCUGGACUGAAUGUGGAGCUGUCCUUCACUGCUGUGGCCAAAGAACUGAAACACCGGACCAUGAAGGAGCCCGACGAGCCAAAGUUUCAGCUUCAGGAGUACGUGGACAAGGAGAUGAGGACGGUGGGCUGCUGCCGCUCGUAGACCACCUCCUAAACAUGAGCUCAGAUGUGUGUUUUUGUGCGACAGUGACAGACUGAUCAGGUACAGUCGACUAAAGCAUCUGUACCUGCAAGGAUUCUCUGACCACGACGAUGGUUUGUAAUAUUUCAGUCGGUAUACUCUCUCUCUCCAACCCACCCAUCCUCUGCAAAUGUGAAUGUAAUAUAACUCUUAUUGUAUCUACAUGCUUGUGCGUACAUGUACACACACACACACACACACACA